This 429-nucleotide ribosomal RNA is filed under the name Bacteroidota bacterium. RNAcentral's name for it is "Bacteroidetes bacterium partial 16S ribosomal RNA". It matches the Rfam family "Bacterial small subunit ribosomal RNA", at positions 355 to 776 of the family's 1533-position model. Lineage: Bacteria; Pseudomonadati; Bacteroidota. The record is from RNAcentral.
UAGGGAAUCUUCCGCAAUGGACGCAAGUCUGACGGAGCAACGCCGCGUGAGUGAAGAAGGAUUUCGGUUCGUAAAACUCUGUUGUUAGAGAAGAACAGCGCAUAGAGUAACUGUUAUGCGUGUGACGGUAUCUAACCAGAAAGCCACGGCUAACUACGUGCCAGCAGCCGCGGUAAUACGUAGGUGGCAAGCGUUGUCCGGAUUUAUUGGGCGUAAAGCGAGCGCAGGCGGUCAAUUAAGUCUGAUGUGAAAGCCCCCGGCUCAACCGGGGAGGGUCAUUGGAAACUGGUUGACUUGCGUGCAGAAGAGGAGAGUGGAAUUCCAUGUGUAGCGGUGAAAUGCGUAGAUAUAUGGAGGAACACCAGUGGCGAAGGCGACUCUCUGGUCUGUAACUGACGCUGAGGCUCGAAAGCGUGGGUAGCAAACAGG